CAACUUUCAGCAACGGAUCUCUUGGCUCUCGCAUCGAUGAAGAACGCAGCGAAUCACGAUACGUAAUGUGAAUUGCAGAUUUUCAGUGAAUCAUCGAAUCUUUGAACGCACCUUGCGCUCCUUGGUAUUCCGAGGAGCAUGCCUGUUUGAGUGUCAU
This 157-nucleotide ribosomal RNA is filed under the name Melanogaster variegatus. Its description in RNAcentral is "5.8S ribosomal RNA". It matches the Rfam family "5.8S ribosomal RNA". Rfam says of the family: 5.8S ribosomal RNA (5.8S rRNA) is a component of the large subunit of the eukaryotic ribosome. It is transcribed by RNA polymerase I as part of the 45S precursor that also contains 18S and 28S rRNA. Lineage: Eukaryota; Fungi; Basidiomycota; Agaricomycetes; Boletales; Melanogastraceae. The record is from RNAcentral.